This 388-nucleotide transfer-messenger RNA is filed under the name Patescibacteria group. RNAcentral describes it as "GWC2-42-12 sp000997945 Standard tmRNA". It matches the Rfam family "transfer-messenger RNA". From Rfam's summary of the family: Bacterial tmRNA, also known as 10Sa RNA or SsrA, is named for its dual tRNA and mRNA-like properties. The record is from RNAcentral.
GGGGAUGCCAGGCAUCGAUAAUAAAAUUUUUUUAAGGCAUUCAGAAGCGCGCUUCAAGCCGGCGCUUUAAUCCCGGCUUGAAAACAUAAUAAGUGUCAAAAACUUAUUUAGCAAAGCGACAUUCUCUUGGAGAAUGCCGGCCUUUGCUCCUGUUGCCGCUUAAUAGCCGCAACCAUCCGUCCAACUGAAGUCUAUAGGUUGGUGCCGGGUGUAAUAAUUUAGACUCGGGUAGCCGAUUGCUUUAGUCGGUUAUUUUAAAAAAUUAAAGCUGGCUACGGCCGAUUUUGCUCGGUUUUUACGGCGGUAGCGAGAAAACAAAUCGAUCUAAUCUGUAAACAUGCUUUAAAAAAUUUAUUAGACAGGGGUUCAAUUCCCCUCAUCUCCACAU